GGUUUAAAGAAAUUGUGGGGGGUCAAUUUUUUCUCAUUUCAGAUUUCAGAAAUUAAAAAGAAUCAUUCUUCAAAUAUUAUUUUUUUUUCAAAUUUCAAAUAUUGAAAAAUUUCAAGAAGUAAUCUUUAAUUGGACAGUAUGGCGCAUUAUAUUUGUAAAAUCUUUGACCACAUUUAUUUAUUUGUUAUGCCGAAUCUAACCAUGUAUUUAGAUUUUUAAUUUUGGGUCCAGUUUUCAAAUUGGUCUACAUUAAGGUCCAAAGGGUCCAAAAUUAAACUUUGUUUGAUUUUAACAAAAAUUGAAUAUAUGGGGUUCUUUGAUAUGCUGAAUCUAAACAUGUAUUUAGAUUUUUGAUUUUUGGCCCAGUUUUCAAGUUGGUCCAAAUUGGGGUCCAAAAUUAAACUUUGUUUGAUUUCAACAAAAAUUGAAUAUAUGGGGUUCUUUGAUAUGCUGAAUCUAACCAUGUAUUUAGAUUUUUUAUUUGUGGCCCAGUUUUCAAGUUGGUCCAAAUUGGGGUCCAAAAUUAAUCUUUGUUUGAUUUCAACAAAAAUUGAAUAUAUGGGGUUCUUUGAUAUGCUGAAUCUAACCAUGUAUUUAGAUUUUUUAUUUGUGGCCCAGUUUUCAAGUUGGUCCAAAUUUGGGUCCAAAAUUAAACUUUGUUUGAUUUCAACAAAAAUUGAAUAUAUGGGGUUCUUUGAUAUGCUGAAUCUAACCAUGUAUUUAGAUUUUUUAUUUGUGGACCCUGCUAUCAAAUUGGUUCAUAUUGAGGUCAAAAGGGUCCAAAAUUAAACUUUGUUUGAUUUCAACAAAAAUUGAAUAUAUGGGGUUCUUUGAUAUGCUGAAUCUAACCAUGUAUUUAGAUUUUUGAUUUUUGGGCCCCGUUAUCAACUUUGUCCACAUUGAGGUCAAAAGGGUCCAAAAUUAAACUUAGUUUGAUUCUAACAAAAAUUGAAUUCUUGGGGUUCUUUGAUAUGCUGAAUCUAAACAUGUGUUUAGAUUUUUGAUAAUGGGCCCAGUUUUCAAGUUGGUCAAAGUUGGGGUCAAAAUUAAACUUUGUUUGAUUUCAACAAAAAUUGAAUAUAUGGGGUUCUUUGAUAUGCUGAAUCUAACCAUGUAUUUAGAUUUUUUAUUUGUGGACCCAGCUAUCAAAUUGGUUCAUAUUGAGUUCAAAAGGGUCCAAAAUUAAACUUUGUUUGAUUUCAACAAAAAUUGAAUAUAUGGGGUUCUUUGAUAUGCUGAAUCUAACCAUGUAUUUAGAUUUUUGAUUUUUGGGCCCCGUUAUCAACUUUGUCCACAUUGAGGUCAAAAGGGUCCAAAAUUAAACUUAGUUUGAUUUUAACAAAAAUUGAAUUCUUGGGGUUCUUUGAUAUGCUGAAUCUAAACAUGUAUUUAGAUUUUUGAUUUUUGGCCCAGUUUUCAAGUUGGUCCAAAUUGGGGUCCAAAAUUAAACUUUGUUUGAUUUCAACAAAAAUUGAAUAUAUGGGGUUCUUUGAUAUGCUGAAUCUUACCAUGUAUUUAGAUUUUUUAUUUGUUGGCCCGCUAUCAAAU
Molecule: long non-coding RNA, 1548 nt
Organism: Mytilus californianus (California mussel)
Lineage: Eukaryota; Metazoa; Mollusca; Bivalvia; Mytilida; Mytilidae
Exons: 2
Source: RefSeq, a predicted model, not a curated record